CGACAUUGCUUUAAGGGCUGUGUUGAUGGGGCAGAAGUCAGCCGAGGCCAUAGUACCGGCGGGAAUCAGUGAUGGUUGCUGGGAAGGGC
RNAcentral lists this non-coding RNA (89 nucleotides) under Arthrobacter pigmenti. Lineage: Bacteria; Bacillati; Actinomycetota; Actinomycetes; Micrococcales; Micrococcaceae. The record is from RNAcentral.